UUCGCUCAGUUACGCCGGGUUAAGAGUGA
This 29-nucleotide non-coding RNA is filed under the name Rattus norvegicus (Norway rat). The record is from RNAcentral. Lineage: Eukaryota; Metazoa; Chordata; Mammalia; Rodentia; Muridae.